CCGGGAUGAUAAUGACGGUACCCGGAGAAUAAGCCCCGGCUAACUUCGUGCCAGCAGCCGCGGUAAUACGAAGGGGGCUAGCGUUGCUCGGAAUUACUGGGCGUAAAGGGAGCGUAGGCGGAUUUUUAAGUCAGGGGUGAAAUCCCGGGGCUCAACCCCGGAAUUGCCUUUGAUACUGGGUGUCUUGAAUCUGAGAGAGGUGUGUGGAACUCCGAGUGUAGAGGUGAAAUUCGUAGAUAUUCGGAAGAACACCAGUGGCGAAGGCGACUCACUGGAUCGUUACU
Molecule: ribosomal RNA, 284 nt
Filed under: uncultured bacterium
Lineage: Bacteria
Description: partial 16S ribosomal RNA
Rfam family: Bacterial small subunit ribosomal RNA
Source: RNAcentral